Molecule: non-coding RNA, 75 nt
Organism: Myotis brandtii (Brandt's bat)
Lineage: Eukaryota; Metazoa; Chordata; Mammalia; Chiroptera; Vespertilionidae
Source: Rfam
GGUGGUUCUUGGGUGACACACCCCGGAAUCGGGUUCCCUCCUCUCUGGUUCUGGGUGCGUCACUAAAGAACCGCA